GAUGAAGAACGCAGCGAAAUGCGAUAAGUAAUGUGAAUUGCAGAAUUCAGUGAAUCAUCGAAUCUUUGAACGCACAUUGCGCCCCUUGGUAUUCCGGGGGGCAUGCCUGUUCGAGCGUCAUUGCUGCCCUCAAGCACGGCUUGUGUGUUGGGCCUCCGUCCUCCUCCCGGGGGACGGGCCCGAAAGGCAGCGGCGGCACCGCGUCCGGUCCUCGAGCGUAUGGGGCUUCGUCACCCGCUCUUGUAGGCCCGGCCGGCGCUUGCCGACACAUCAAUCUUUUUUCCAGGUUGACCUCGGAUCAGGUAGGGAUACCCGCUGAACUUAAGCAUAUCAAUAAGCGGAGGA
RNAcentral lists this unclassified non-coding RNA (345 nucleotides) under soil metagenome. Its description in RNAcentral is "partial contains 5.8S ribosomal RNA, internal transcribed spacer 2, and large subunit ribosomal RNA". The stretch from base 1 to 120 matches the Rfam family "5.8S ribosomal RNA", at positions 35 to 154 of the family's 154-position model. The record is from RNAcentral.